CAGCUCUGCCCUGCGAUGCAAGCUGAGGAGGAGCUGCUGCAGCGCGCUGCUUCCCUCACCACACAGUACCUGCGGCAGCUGCUCUGCAGGUCCCCUGCUGUGCAAAUCGCCCUUCACAGAGGAAGAUCUUCCUGUCAGUGACUGACGAGAGGUGCCAGGAGCAGGCUAGGAGACUUUUAAAACCCAUAACUUGGCAAAUCAGCAGGGCUUUAUGAAGGAAGCUGGAGGCAGUUCUCAUUAGUCUCACUGACAUCUUUUAUCACUUAUCAGAGGAACAAGCAAACGGAGAGCAAUUCCUUUGAUCAUGGCAAAAGUAGAAAGAGUAUUAAAAACCCUAUGAAGAUUCACUAAGUAGAAAGUGGAAAAGACAGUCUGUGGCAUGUUUCAAAGAAGUAACAUGAUUUAAAGUUGCCAGAUUUGCUUGUAUAUAUUAAAGAAUUGUUAAUGAUGCUACAUUUUACAUGCAUCCUAGGGUUUUUUUGUUUUUGUUUUUUUUUGUUUGAGAAAGAGGCGAAGGAGUUCUUAAGUAGAAUGAUCAGUUGGAACAUAUCUCUAAAGGGUGAACUACGACAGAAAGGAAUUCUGUGAUUCAAUGAAAAUUGUUGAAAAUAAAAAUAAGGUUGUAUGGUAGCACAAUGGGUCAGAAAGAAA
This is a long non-coding RNA of Phasianus colchicus (ring-necked pheasant), 651 nucleotides long. RefSeq lists it as uncharacterized. NCBI's taxonomy places the organism in Eukaryota, Metazoa, Chordata, Aves, Galliformes, Phasianidae. The record is from RefSeq and is a predicted model, not a curated record.